UUUCCGUAGGUGAACCUGCGGAAGGAUCAUUAUUGUAUAACCGAGCUCCGAGUUCUAUCUCUGACCCGAGAGUUCGUGAACUCCCUGGUUCCGUCACACAGAUCCAUCUCACCCCUAUGUGCACCACCGCGUGGGUCCCCCCUGGCCAAGUACGGAGGAGGGCUGACUUUUUCACACAAACUUUGUAUGAAGUGUAAAAUGUAUUUUUUGUUUUUACGAGCACGCAAUCAAUACAACUUUCAACAACGGAUCGCAUGUCUCUAGCAUCCAUGAAGAACC
Molecule: unclassified non-coding RNA, 279 nt
Filed under: plant metagenome
Description: partial contains small subunit ribosomal RNA, internal transcribed spacer 1, and 5.8S ribosomal RNA
Source: RNAcentral